CAAUAGCGUAUAUUUAAGUUGUUGCAGUUAAAAAGCUCGUAGUUGGAUUUCGGUUAAGAGCGACCGGUCCGCCGUUUGGUGUGCACUGGUUGGUUUUAACUUCCUGUAGAGGACGUGCUCUGGGUUUAACGACCUGGACUCGGAGUCUACGUGGCUACUUUGAAAAAAUUAGAGUGUUCAAAGCGGGCUUACGCUUGAAUAUUUCAGCAUGGAAUAACACUAUAGGACUCCUGUCCUAUUUCGUUGGUCUCGGGACGGGAGUAAUGAUUAAGAGGAACAGUUGGGGGCAUUCGUAUUUCAUUGUCAGAGGUGAAAUUCUUGGAUUUAUGAAAGACGAACUUCUGCGAAAGCAUUUGCCAAGGAUGUUUUCAUUAA
RNAcentral lists this ribosomal RNA (375 nucleotides) under uncultured eukaryote. Its description in RNAcentral is "partial 18S ribosomal RNA". It matches the Rfam family "Eukaryotic small subunit ribosomal RNA", at positions 592 to 976 of the family's 1831-position model. The record is from RNAcentral.